UUUAUUGUAGAUUUAUAUCGGGGAUUAUUACGUGAGGAGAAUACGUUAUAAGUUAAAUGCUUAUUAGAGAUAAUGCAAGUGGUUUAAUUUAAUUGAAGUUCAUUUUAAGAUUGUAGGUUAAGAGAAUUAUAAUUUAAAAUAAAGUUUUUUGUCGUAAAUAGGAAUUAUUUUCAAGAGAAGUUGGUUUUGUUUUCGUGCGCGUAGGAGACGAGACGUACGAAUUAAAUCAGUCGAGGAAAGGAUAAACGUUAGAAAGGAAUUAAAGAGAAAACGAGAGUUUAUGUAAAAGAGAGUUAUAGAAUUUAUAGUGAUGUUUUGUUUUAAUUAGAAAAAUGUUGAGAGUUGUUUCAGAACGACACGUCAGUGGACGUGGCAGAAUGAACACGUGACGGGGAGGUGCUGAGACCUAGCGGAGAACGGAGGAACCGCAAGCGAGGGUUGGCGCACCUGAUGGAAUUCGGUGACGUCACGGGCUCAUACGGAGACGUGGACAGGCCGUGACCUUGUUUUGAUCAGCUGUACGGUAACUUAACGAUAAGAAAAUAGACUAUUGGUUAAAUAAAUUUAAAUUUAAGUGUGUUUUAGGAGAAGAGGAACUUUCAGUAUAUUCCUUAAGAUGAGCUGAGCAGCAGUCCAGUUUACAAGAUGACAAGAGUUCGAGAGACAAGAUACAAGAUCACUGAAACAAGAGCCAAGACUGAAGAUUCAAGAGAAGAGAAAGCUGGCAGCCAUGGACUUACAAGUGGAGAUUAAUAAGGUCAUGUAAAGUUUUAUUUUUUUUUAUGGAAGACAGUAACUGGAGUUUUUUUUUUGUUAUAAACAUUAUUUACAGAACUUUUUAGGUUAUAGUAAUGUAAUGGAACUAGUGAGUUGUGGUAGCUGUCAAAAAGAACUAAUACCUUAAGUUUAAUUUUUAAAGUUAAUUUUCUUAAUUUACAGAGGGAUUAGUAGUUUUUUUUUAAACCUUAUUUAGGUUGGAAUUUAAAUACAAUAGCUUAUUAUAAAUGUGUACGAACAGUUCAAGUUCACAGUACUGAUAGGUAGGUCAGAUGAUCUUAUUGAUUUUGAUGAUUUGUUGUUUUGAGUUGAUUUUUAAGUGUUGUGAAUUAGACAAUGAAAUAGUUCUGAAAACUUAAAUUAUUUCAAGCUAAGAAAUAGUAAAGUUAAUUGUAACUCAAAGGACACCAGAAUUUAAUUUUUUUUUGAAUUAGUAAUGUUUGAAAAUUUUAUACUUUACAAGAAAGGUUAUAAACAAACAGAUCGGAUGGAACAAGGAUGCAGUAAAUCACAAUUUCAUUUAGAAUUAUUGAUUAGCUUUUGAGGUUAUGAAGUAAAAGUAAUUAUAGUUUAAAAGUUUGAAUAAAAAAAAAAUGUUUUUUUUUAUUUGUUUGAAAUAGAAAGUUUAAAAGUUAAUUAGUCAUGAUCUAGGUGGGUGAUGGGGUGGGAAUUGGCCACUCUUUUUCCCUAUAACCUCCCUAACAUGGCCUUCUAUUACAACUAACAGAAAUAAAGAAGAAGAAAAA
Molecule: long non-coding RNA, 1523 nt
Organism: Bacillus rossius redtenbacheri
Lineage: Eukaryota; Metazoa; Arthropoda; Insecta; Phasmatodea; Bacillidae
Exons: 2
Source: RefSeq, a predicted model, not a curated record